RNAcentral lists this ribosomal RNA (492 nucleotides) under uncultured bacterium. RNAcentral's name for it is "partial 16S ribosomal RNA". It matches the Rfam family "Bacterial small subunit ribosomal RNA", at positions 29 to 507 of the family's 1533-position model. The record is from RNAcentral.
AGUGAACGCUGGCGGUAGGCCUAACACAUGCCAGUCGAACGGCAGCACAGCAAGAGCUUGCUCUUACGGGUGGCGAGUGGCGGACGGGUGAGGAAUACAUCGGAAUCUACUUUUUCGUGGGGGAUAACGUAGGGAAACUUACGCUAAUACCGCAUACGACCUACGGGUGAAAGCAGGGGAUCUUCGGACCUUGCGCGAUUGAAUGAGCCGAUGUCGGGUUAGCUAGUUGGCGGGGUAAAGGCCCACCAAGGCGACGAUCCGUAGCUGGUCUGAGAGGAUGAUCAGCCACACUGGAACUGAGACACGGUCCAGACUCCUACGGGAGGCAGCAGUGGGGAAUAUUGGACAAUGGGCGCAAGCCUGAUCCAGCCAUACCGCGUGGGUGAAGAAGGCCUUCGGGUUGUAAAGCCCUUUUGUUGGGAAAGAAAAGCAGCAGGUUAAUACCCCGCUGUUCUGACGGUACCCAAAGAAUAAGCACCGGCUAACUUCGUG